GCAGCUUUUUACAAAGUGAACUCAGAGUCAACUUUGGCGAACAGGCAGGGGAUCUUCUACGCUAAUUUAGAGGUCCAAGCCAGACUCAUCUUCAAAGCCAGAUGUAUUAUAAGACCAACCAGGUCAGACUUCAUCUACUGGCGGCUGCUCUGCACUUGUGACCGA
Molecule: long non-coding RNA, 165 nt
Organism: Sander lucioperca (pikeperch)
Lineage: Eukaryota; Metazoa; Chordata; Actinopteri; Perciformes; Percidae
Exons: 3
Source: RefSeq, a predicted model, not a curated record